CACGUGGGCAAUCUGCCCUGCACUCUGGGACAAGCCCUGGAAACGGGGUCUAAUACCGGAUACGACACAGGGAGGCAUCUCCUCUGUGUGGAAAGCUCCGGCGGUGCAGGAUGAGCCCGCGGCCUAUCAGCUUGUUGGUGAGGUAACGGCUCACCAAGGCGACGACGGGUAGCCGGCCUGAGAGGGCGACCGGCCACACUGGGACUGAGACACGGUCCAGACUCCUACGGGAGGCAGCAGUGGGGAAUAUUGCACAAUGGAGGAAACUCUGAUGCAGCCAUGCCGCGUGUAUGAAGAAGG
This 300-nucleotide ribosomal RNA is filed under the name uncultured Streptomyces sp. RNAcentral's name for it is "bacterial SSU rRNA". It matches the Rfam family "Bacterial small subunit ribosomal RNA", at positions 114 to 414 of the family's 1533-position model. Lineage: Bacteria; Bacillati; Actinomycetota; Actinomycetes; Kitasatosporales; Streptomycetaceae. The record is from RNAcentral.